AUGGCUCAGUGAGGCCUUCGGACUGGCCCAGGGAUGUCGGCAACGACGACCCAGGGCCGGAAAGUUGGUCAAACUCGGUCAUUUAGAGGAAGUAAAAGUCGUAACAAGGUCUCCGUAGGUGAACCUGCGGAGGGAUCAUU
This 140-nucleotide ribosomal RNA is filed under the name Mycosphaerella elaeocarpi. RNAcentral's name for it is "partial 18S ribosomal RNA". It matches the Rfam family "Eukaryotic small subunit ribosomal RNA", at positions 1693 to 1830 of the family's 1831-position model. Lineage: Eukaryota; Fungi; Ascomycota; Dothideomycetes; Mycosphaerellales; Mycosphaerellaceae. The record is from RNAcentral.